CAGACUUUCUAUGGGUCAGCCAUUGCAGGGAGGCAUGAAGAGCACAGAUAUCUUCAAGCAGGAUAUUGAAGAGCCUAGCAAGGUGGAAGAACUAUCUCAGAUUCCCGAGAGCAAUUCAUUCUGCCAUUAUCUCCAGAGUGAGGCUUGGGUUUUGUGAGUAAAACAACAUGGCAGAUGAAGACAGCAAACAGACCCAUCCUUGAUCUUCUUCAGGCUGGAAAAUCUCACUUCCCCACAUGGUAAUGUCAGUCUGCUGAGGGUGCAAUCCAUGGCACUACUGAAGUUGCUGAUGAUGACAUUAUCAGCCCCGG
RNAcentral lists this long non-coding RNA (311 nucleotides) under Coturnix japonica (Japanese quail). RNAcentral's name for it is "lncRNA (ENSCJPG00005001281.1)". Lineage: Eukaryota; Metazoa; Chordata; Aves; Galliformes; Phasianidae. The record is from RNAcentral.